This is a long non-coding RNA of Neoarius graeffei (lesser salmon catfish), 922 nucleotides long. RefSeq lists it as uncharacterized. NCBI's taxonomy places the organism in Eukaryota, Metazoa, Chordata, Actinopteri, Siluriformes, Ariidae. The transcript has 3 exons. The record is from RefSeq and is a predicted model, not a curated record.
UUUGCUGCAAAAUUAAGAAGCAUGUGUGACAAAGUGUCCAGAAGAACUAUGGUUGGAAGAUGCUCUGUAAAACCUCGUGUGUAUGUGUGUAUAUAUAUAUAUAUAUAUAUAUAUAUAUAUAUAUAUAUAUAUAUAGUUUAUUGUCAAAAACUGUCUGUCCUUAAUGAGUGAGUUCUGUCCUUAAACUUACAAGGUAACCAAAUGAAACCAAAAUAGCUCAUAGCUGUGCAAUUAUUAUUAUUAUUAUUAUUAUUAUGCUUUUUACUUGUUUUUAUUUUCCCUCUAUAAGGUAUUGAUAUCCUUUGCCUGUUCCCUGAAAAUGUCACCCUCCUUCUCACCCUCCUCUUCGUCAUCCCAGAACUUGGGAAUCAGGGGCUGUGGAGAUUCUUCCUUCCCUGCGAUGGAUUACAGCGCAAUGCAGAAGAAUGUGAAUUAAUUAUCAGAUGGGGUUCAGUGAGUCCAUAUGGAGAGAAACAGCAGGACUGAUGAGCACAUCACCUGGGUUCAGGGUUUGGGCUAUCAAGUGUGAACAGGAACAAGGGGACUUCCCAGCCCUGCCCCCCUACAUAACUCAUUGCAGUCAUGGUGCUCUCCUUAGGUUUGGUGAUGGAUGACACUGAUCACCUCCUGAAAAAGAGCCAUCCUUGCUCAGUCUGCUGACUGAUAGUAGUUCCUGUAAACUAGCUCCUCUCACUGUGAACAGCUGGCAUAAUAGAGGAAGAUUACAAACUGGUGGCACAAAAGACAGUUUUAAGCACAAAAGAGUGAAGAUCACGGACACUGGCAACAAUGAUGCUUUCAAAGUUAGGACAAAGCUCAUCAGAGGACACUCCAGGUCAAAUAGAUUGAAAUACAUUCAAGUCCUGUACAGAGAAGUGCGAGUGAAUAAUUAUGUGAGCUGAUUAAAAUCCAUGCAACGAGU